Molecule: ribosomal RNA, 406 nt
Filed under: uncultured bacterium
Lineage: Bacteria
Description: partial 16S ribosomal RNA
Rfam family: Bacterial small subunit ribosomal RNA
Source: RNAcentral
AUUGAACGCUGGCGGCAGGCCUAACACAUGCAAGUCGAACGAGGGGCGGACGGGUGAGUAAUGUCGGGGAAACUGCCUGAUGGAGGGGGAUAAAUACUGGAAACGGGAGCUAAUACCGCAUACCAUGAGAUGUGCAGAGAGGGGAUUAGCUUGGUGGUGGGGUAACGGCUCACCUAGGAGACGAUCCCUAGCUGGUCUGAGAGGAUGACCAGCCACACUGGAACUGAGACACGGUCCAGACUCCUACGGGAGGCAGCAGUGGGGAAUAUUGCACAAUUGGCGCAAGCCUGAUACAGCCAUGCCGCGUGUAUGAAGAAGGCCUUCGGGUUGUAAAGUACUUUCAGCGGGGAGGCGUUACCCGCAGAAGAAGCACCGGCUAACUCCGUGCCAGCAGCCGCGGUAAUUC